UCCUGUCCAACGUUAAUCGGGGCAGGGUGAGUCGACCCCUAAGGCGAGGCCGAAAGGCGUAGUCGAUGGGAAACAGGUUAAUAUUCCUGUACUUGGUGUUACUGCGAAGGGGGGACGGAGAAGGCUAUGUUGGCCGGGCGACGGUUGUCCCGGUUUAAGCGUGUAGGCUGGUUUUCCAGGCAAAUCCGGAAAAUCAAGGCUGAGGCGUGAUGACGAGGCACUACGGUGCUGAAGCAACAAAUGCCCUGCUUCCAGGAAAAGCCUCUAAGCAUCAGGUAACAUCAAAUCGUACCCCAAACCGACACAGGUGGUCAGGUAGAGAAUACCAAGGCGCUUGAGAGAACUCGGGUGAAGGAACUAGGCAAAAUGGUGCCGUAACU
Molecule: ribosomal RNA, 380 nt
Filed under: Escherichia coli
Lineage: Bacteria; Pseudomonadati; Pseudomonadota; Gammaproteobacteria; Enterobacterales; Enterobacteriaceae
Description: partial 23S ribosomal RNA
Rfam family: Bacterial large subunit ribosomal RNA
Source: RNAcentral